Molecule: unclassified non-coding RNA, 408 nt
Filed under: soil metagenome
Description: partial contains 5.8S ribosomal RNA, internal transcribed spacer 2, and large subunit ribosomal RNA
Rfam family: 5.8S ribosomal RNA (bases 3-120)
Source: RNAcentral
GCUGAAGAACGUAGCGAAAUGCGAUAAGUAAUGUGAAUUGCAGAAUUCAGUGAAUCAUCGAAUCUUUGAACGCACCUUGCGCUCCUUGGCAUUCCGAGGAGCAUGCCUGUUUGAGUGUCAUUAAAUUCUCAAUACCUGUCUGCUUUUUUGAUAGGUAUUGGAUUUUGGGGGUUGCAGGCUGUUUCAAAUAAAUAGCCUUGCUCUCCUUGAAUGUAUUAGUGGAGAAAAGCCAUUGAACUCCAUUGGUGUGAUAAAACCUAUCAAUGCCAGGAGCAAUAUCACUAGUUCUCUCUGCUGUCUAACUGUGACUGUCUGUAUUAAUUAGUAUGGAUGGGGACAACUUGACCAACUUGACCUCAAAUCAGGUAGGACUACCCGCUGAACUUAAGCAUAUCAAUAAGCGGAGGA